This 406-nucleotide ribosomal RNA is filed under the name uncultured bacterium. Its description in RNAcentral is "partial 16S ribosomal RNA". It matches the Rfam family "Bacterial small subunit ribosomal RNA", at positions 30 to 526 of the family's 1533-position model. The record is from RNAcentral.
AUUGAACGCUGGCGGCAGGCCUAACACAUGCAAGUCGAACGAGUGGCGGACGGGUGAGUAAUGUCUGGGAAACUGCCUGAUGGAGGGGGAUAACUACUGGAAACGUUAGCUAAUACCGCAUACCAUCAGAUCUGCCGAGAUGGGAUUAGCUUGUUGGUGGGGUAACGGCUCACCAAGGCGACGAUCCCUAGCUGGUUUGAGAGGAUGACCAGCCACACUGGAACUGAGACACGGUCCAGACUCCUACGGGAGGCAGCAGUGGGGAAUAUUGGACAAUGGGCGCAAGCCUGAUGCAGCCAUGCCGCGUGUGUGAAGAAGGCCUUCGGGUUGUAAAGUACUUUCAGCUGGGAGGCGUUACCCGCAGAAGAAGCACCGGCUAACUCCGUGCCAGCAGCCGCGGUAAUUC